AAAUCUCAAGUUUGGCACAACACUGUUGCUGAGACUGCAUCGACUUUCCGAGUGGGAAAGAUUCAAAUUCCGACUGGGAACUCGAAAAUUGGGACUUCUUCUGGUCCUGUUUUGUGAAGCCACACGUGUUUGUUGGGGUCCGCCUCCUUCGAUGACGUCUCCGAUCCGCCGACACUUAUAAGCAGAGAGCGCUAGUGCGAGACAAUAGAGUUGAAUCUCCAUCGCGAUUAACCAACCCCAGGAGAAGGACUAAAACUUGCCCUUAUUAAACGCGGAUGUGAUAUGGAUGAAACUACGACACUACCACAAAGAGAAGCUGUUUUACCCAAGAGGAUGCGGACUGUUUGAAACCGCUGCGGCUCAGCCAGAAUUCGUGAAAAAGAUCGUUCCCAUUUGAACCCACUACAAACCUUAACGGAGGAAGAAGAUGCAGUCCUGCGCAUUGAUGAAUGGACAACACCAGCAGAUUAGACAAGCCUCUCAGCCCUCGCAAGCUGCUCCUUAUCAUGCCCACGAUGCAACAAGAAAUCUGCAAUCUUGGACUCCAACUCAAACCAUCCACUAUCAAGCAAGAAACCUAGGAGUCCAAAAUGUACACUCUGAACAUUUCCCUUUGCACAAUGGAGCUUAUUCUAACAGACAAAUGUCAAAUUUGCAGACUUCUGCAGGAACUUAUCAGGAGGUUUCUUCUCAGCAGACCGGUGGAGGCAAUAACAAUAGUUAUUUUUCUGAUAUGUUAUUUAACUAUAUUCAAAAUGUAUCAGCUAAUAAGCAAAGUGGAAACCCAUCUUUGCCAGCCUCUGGAUUUCAGAUUCCCACUCUGCAAGACUGUGAUCAGAAUUCAUCAACUCAGAGUCCAUCUAACCAGAUGAACUCAAACGCUACAUAUACCCAGCAAGGCAUGUCCACUCAUUGGAAAGAGUCAGUGGUUGUUAAUGAGAGACAAAUGAUAGGAACACGGGAUAGAACUGUGACUGAUAUCCAGCAUGCCCGUGUUCAGCAGGGCAUGCAACAGAAUGUGAAUGGAGACUUGACAAAACCCAUUUCAGCGUACACUACACCAACUAUCUCAUUUCCAGCUGAACGUGGUUUAUGUACCAGCACUAUGAUGUCUGGCUCUGAACAGACUGUGUACCUUGUUCCGAACAAUCAGGUUCAGAGACAAAGCGGCACUCAGCAUGGAUUCUCUCCUGUCAUCUCACAGAGUUACAAUAUGGGAACCUCUCAGACUUCAGGAAACAAUAACACUGCAACAUAUCCACCAUCAAGUGCACAGAAUUCUUACUUUUCCACCACGAGCCACAAAACUCAGCAACACUCGGCUCAGCACCAAUUAAGACACAACAAUGGGAUCAAGACUGCCACCUACAAUAACUCAAAUUUUUAUAAAAAGUAUGAAAAUAUUACUCACUCUGCAAAAAUGAGAGCGCGUCAGAUAAAAACUUCUACACAACAGAAAGUGAUCAGGCACUCAUUAAGUGCAGAUAGUUUAAAUAAUUCAUGUACUCCUGGGUCUGAUGGUUGUCCUGCUCCUCCACCAUACAGCUAUUCAAAUCACAGACGGCAGCAGUUUGUCAGAACGACCACAAUGAUCGUGUCUAAUCAAUCUAAUAUUCAACCUGGGACUUCGGCUACCCCUAAAAAUUAUAGUAACUUGAAUGCCAUCAAGUUAUUACCCGGCCAUUCUGGACAGUCUUUACCUCAAAGCACUCAAAGUGUAAUGUCAAGAACACAGCAUGCUGUAAGUAGACCCCAUCAGCAAACCUGUGUACCUAACAGUUUCCACAAAUCUGCUGCAGGAAAUGAAAAAAGCCCAAGUAAGGAAAACAAUGAAAUUCAUUCUAAAAAGAACUGUAGCUUAAUUGAAUUGUUGCUUGGUUCAUCCCUGCUGCCGGAAUCUGCUGACAGCAAGACACGAUCAUCAGUAGCAAGCAGUUUUGAGACGCUACCAUCAGUCCAGUUAAACGACAGCUCUGUUCACUCAUCACCUGGAAACGCCGGCACCAAAGCUGUUGCUGUUGUACAACCGCUGCCGUCACUGGAAAGUCAGCUUCACAAUGACCAUGCUUCUUGUGAUUCCACAGCAGGAGACUCUUUAAACAACCCUAAGAAAACUUUUGCUUUGGAUACCACAGCAAUUAACAAAACGCUGCCAACUACAGAGUCAGGGACACAAAACACAGGGAAACAGUCUGAACUGGAUGUUAAUGUUCAAAAUUCAAUUCCAUCCCAAGAAUCAGUAAGCCAAAAUUCUCCUGAAGACCAAAGUGGGAUUCAGACACUUUCAACAUCACCCGUUUCUGACCUUUCCGCACUCCCAACAGCCCCAUGGACAUUAUUGGCACUAACGAAGUUGAUAAAAGAUGCAGAAAAGAAUCAGAAAGAGCCCAGCGAUUUGAAAGAAUUACACACUGCACAAAAAAUAUUAGACCUGUUUUGGGAGGGAAAACUUGAAACAUUACAAAUGUACUCAAGCAAGGUAUGCUUUCUCCAGGUUUUAGAAGUUAAAGACUUCUGCAAAAAAUAUUUAACAGCCAACUCUGUUGUACUGUUGGAGGUAGAUGGCAAUUUUGAGGAGCAAAUGAAAAGCUACCAUGUCCUCAAAGACAAUGAAGUAUUUUCAGAAUUGCCUUACAAAUCAUCAUGGUUAAAUCUAAAUGAGCAGUUGGAUGAAAUAGACAAAGAAUUUGGUUUCCCAUUGUCUUUGAAACAUCACACUUUAUUGCUUGAGAGUGAUGGCCAGAAAGAUCAGAUGCACAUCAACAACAGUGAUCCUGCAAUUGUGAGUAAAGUGCCAAGCAAGGUCUUGCCAUUAAAAGAUUUUGAACCUGUUGAUUCAAAUGAAGGAAAAGAAACCACCACACUUGAACCCCCCUCAAUUCAAACUUCCUCCCCUAAUCAGACAGAUGGUUCCAGUGACCCAUGUUUGUCACUGAAAAUCCAAGUUAUGCCUCCAGAAGAAGCCAGACGUUACCAUGAGCAAAUGGAAAAUGCGAUGCCACAAAGUAUGGAUGCAGAGAGGGUCGUAGGUAGUUUCACGGAGAGUGAGACACCUGAUAAUACAGAGUCCACAUCGAGGAAAUCAGAAUUGGAAACGGUGGAAAUUGGCAUAAGUCAGUCGCUUUGCUGUCUUACAAAGCUGUUGGAAAUGACUAUAGGGUCAAGUACACCUUCUGAUUGUAAAUGCCACAGCCAGAAAGAACAAAAGUAUAGAAAAUGGAUCAACAAGACCAGUGAUAUUGGCGAAACAGUUGUACUAAAGCACAAUAACCAGUUUGGGAAGGAUCCAGUAAAGGACAAGGAGAACACUGAUGAUCAAGUUGUGACAUUUAGUGGCCCUGAGUUUUGUAGCCUUCUUGAUCAAGCCAUAGAUUUGACUGAAGAUGAUGACCAACCUCAUUCGCCUUCUGAACUAAAUUCUAAGAACCACUGCAAAAUAGCCAAUACCAGUCAUUCAAGUGUUAUAUUUAUAAAUGAUGAAGAUGAAGAUCUCUCCAGUGGUGAAAACGAAAUUCUUAGCCAGAAGACAGAUCUUGCCAUAAAGAUGUCUGAACGUGACGAUAAGUGUGGACAAGAACAACCGAAGUCUAAACCAUUGAGUCUGUCAGGUGCCUCAGUCAGUACUGACAAAGCUGAAACUGACAAAUUCUGCAGCACUGAGACUGAGAUUGCCAUCCAGCUCCUGGAUCAUGGCAGGAGUUGUGAAGAAGCUUUAGAUGUGCCAGCAUCCCCUUUGAAAACCACAGAGCAAUCUCAAAUCUGUGCUAACAGUGACUUUAAAGCAUCUGUGAAGCAUAAAAAAACCAAAAGAAAACACAAGAGACUCGAAUGGGAUAAUGAAUUUGGUCCACCCCAAAAGGAAUCAAAGAAAUGCAACUCACCUGUUGAUCUUAAUUUAGAACAUGCCCUUGAUGGUGUUUCAAAAUGUGAAAAAGAGCCUGAUGUUGAAGCUGAAGCUCUCAAUAUAGACUCAAAAAGAACUGCAGAACUGGUGCUGUUUGGCUCAGCUCAACAAGACAAGUGUGCUUUAACUGGCAGCAGAAAAGCCCAUUCCCCUUUUGUAAAGAAUGCGUCUAAGGCAGCACACCCGAGGCCUCCAGAAGUUCUUACUGUCAAUCUCAACCCUUUGAGUAGCAAGUUCAGUGACACGGUCUACAACAGGAAUUAUUCAGUCAAACAACUAAUUCAUGACAAAUGGUGGAGAAGUUUUCAACCGACUAAAGCCAGUCACAAAAAAAAACUUAAACGCCGUUCUUACUCUGUAGCUGGGGGUAGCUUGAUGAAACGAGAUGAAACUAAGGACUCCCGGAAUCUGAAGACGCUUGGAGAGGAGAAGAAGGAUAUCAUCGCUGAUAAUAAGAGACGUUCCUCUAAAAAUGAAAGCCAAAAUGUCAAACCUUGCCAGGAGCACAUAGUCUUGAGGUUCAGUGUUCUACCCAGUAACUUUGACCUCAAAGAUGGAUCCAGUGGCAGGAAGGAAUCCACCAAUCCAGUUUCAGAAGAGCGUACCGUCUUUACAGAUAAGCCAGAAAAAGAGCAGAGCGCUGCUACAGCUGUCACAAAACCAAAAGGUAAAUGGGGUUCGAGUCUGCAGAAGAAUAGACCUCAACAUAUUCCCAAGACCUUCAGCCUCUUCCACGAGUAUCAGAAGAAAUACAAAGAGCGGGCUCACUCAAAAGAUGAAUAAUGUGAAAGAUGUCUUUUCUCAGGGAAUAUUUUUUUCAUUAAAGACAUUUAGUACAAAGAUUUUGACUAAAAUUAUGCCUUUGUAACUUUUUGUUGUUUACAUGCCUGUAAAAAGCGUUACAGUCAUGAGCAGGUGUAGUUACUGACUUUUCGAGACGUGGGAAUUUGGCAACCUUUACGAAUGUGUUCAAGUAAUGACAUUCUGUCUUGGUUAUUAUUGUGUCACUGCUCCUUGUCGGUUCUCCACUGUACUCGGGACAGUGGAGAAAGGAAGACAUGGUGUUUGCUGUUGGUGCAGUUCUGUUUAAUGAGCUGAGAAGCUCUGAAGAUGAAUGAAAGGUGCGCGUCGUUUUAUCUUGUGUCUGUGCAUCAGUGACUGCAGACUUUAGAUAGUCUAAAUGUUCAAGUUAACAAAUGACAUCCAUGAAAGGGGGUGUAAGUCUAAAAUCUUUUUUUACUUUUACAAAAAAACUUGUAACAUUUGCAUUGUGAGUUUUUUACUGUUUUUCUACACUUUCAGUAUUUGUAUUUUAACUUUUCUACUAUUAAAUUAUCAAUUUUUAAUGUGGUUUUGUCUUUGUCUAAACUAAUAGUAGAUAUUAUAGUAGAUUAAUAAAUAAGCUGCAACAGUUGUUUAGCAUUAAAGGGAAGUGGCUUGCUUCCUGGAAAUAAUCUGAAACAAACCCAAAUUACAGGAAGCUGAAAUGGCCAUUAACGGUUUUAUUCUGCUCCUUGCAACGAUCCUCUUUGUUGAUCUUAUUGUGUUGCUUGAUAUAAAAUCAAAAAUGUUUAUUUUAUAUUUUUAAAUCUGUUUUCUUGAUAUUACCCUAGGCAUCUGUCAGAUGUUAAUAACAGAUGUGGACCUGUUCUGAAUGUGAAAACUAGCCCUGUUCAAACAACAUCCAAUUUACAGGCUUGUUAGAACUCACUCCCUUAAGUAAAACACAAGUUUCAUUUUGAGAUUCAUAUCCUUUUUAGAUGAUCGCCCUUAUACUGCUGACAUGUUGCUACUUGAGAGACUAACCCUCCUUAUCAGUGUAAAUUCACCAAACUACCAGCUAUCACCUCACUUGCUGAUCAUCCAGUAUGUGUGGAACAAGCUGUUAGACUCAUUUGAUCUUGUUGGGCUGAUGUUGUGUCAGUUACUAUGUGCAUCAAAUGAAACUAAUGUUAAAUGUAGGCGAUAUUACAAUUAAUAAAUUAGUAGGCGACGUAAAGCAGGUUUGAUAAAUAGUACAUAUCACAACAUACAGGCGAUUCAGCUGAUCGCACACACACGUGCCUGCAGGACUUUCUAUGUAGCCUAUGUCACUUUUUUAAAGACACCUGAUCAAAUAUAAACGUAAUUUCAAAAAAAAGUUUUCUAAAAUAUCUAUAAAGCAGAGGAAAGUCAAACUGAUGCAUUUUUGCUUACUGAUCACAGUCAUGUUUGAUUUGUACUGACCUAAAGUUGCUUUUAAAAAUACUGAUGUUAUCGCUCUUUGAUCAGAAUCAAAUGUGGUUACUAUUUUUUUUAGAUAUGAUAUGGUGACCUCUAGUGAGUUCUUUCAUUCGUCAGAGGUAAAAUUUCAGUAUGUGUGUGUUUCAACAUUGAAACUUAUGUCAUGAAGCUCCCAGUGGAUGGUCUUUGUGCUGAUGUUAAUUACAGAUGUUAUGGAAUUUCUGUUAACAAAGUCUGCAGACACGGUCAACUGUAGUCAGUACCUUUAUU
Long non-coding RNA from Oreochromis aureus, 6397 nucleotides. NCBI's taxonomy places the organism in Eukaryota, Metazoa, Chordata, Actinopteri, Cichliformes, Cichlidae. The record is from Ensembl.